This 410-nucleotide ribosomal RNA is filed under the name uncultured microorganism. RNAcentral's name for it is "bacterial SSU rRNA". It matches the Rfam family "Bacterial small subunit ribosomal RNA", at positions 509 to 917 of the family's 1533-position model. The record is from RNAcentral.
CAGCCGCCGCGGUAAUACGUAGGGGGCGAGCUUUGUCCUGAAUUACUGGGCGUAAAGGGCGUGUAGGCGGCCUGUUAAGUCAGGGGUGAAAGACCGGGGCUCAACCCCGGGGGUGCCUCUGAAACUGGCGGGCUUGAGUGCUCUAGAGGGCAGUGGAAUUCCCGGUGUAGCAGUGAAAUGCGUAGAGAUCGGGAGGAACACCAGUGGCGAAGGCGGCUGCCUGGGGAGUCACUGACGCUGAGGCGCGAAAGCUAGGGGAGCAAACAGGAUUAGAUACCCUGGUAGUCAUAGCCGUAAACGAUGAGCGCUAUGUGUGAGGGGUAUCGACCCCCCUCGUGCAGGAGCUAACGCAUUAAGCGCUCCGCCUGGGGAGUACGGCCGCAAGGUUGAAACUUAAAGGAAUUGGCGGG